AAGGGAGACCUAAUUCAGGUAUGGGACGAAAAAAAAGUAGUCGCUACCAAGAAUCAAUCCCAAAAGGUCGGAGCGAGGUAUGAGGCUUUCAAACUAGGUUCUGGGUUCAAACAAGACCUGAAUCAGGAACAAGGGCUAUUAGCUCAGGUGGUUAGAGCGCACCCCUGAUAAGGGUGAGGUCCCUGGUUCGAGUCCAGGAUGGCCCGCCUGCACAGGUGGCAAAAACAAGAGAAGCUCCGAAUCAGCACCUUAUCUUAUCUAUAUAUAAGAGAGAAUGCUGGCUCUGAGUACAGAGUCCAGAGGAACCUUGAAAACUGCAUAGAGCUAGGUGAAAAAGCCAAAAAAGAAGACCGCAA
Molecule: transfer RNA, 356 nt
Filed under: uncultured Microcystis sp.
Lineage: Bacteria; Bacillati; Cyanobacteriota; Cyanophyceae; Chroococcales; Microcystaceae
Description: partial 16S-23S ribosomal RNA intergenic spacer
Rfam family: tRNA (bases 133-206)
Source: RNAcentral